Nerophis ophidion (straightnose pipefish) is the source of this 6994-nucleotide long non-coding RNA. RefSeq lists it as uncharacterized. The record is from RefSeq and is a predicted model, not a curated record. Lineage: Eukaryota; Metazoa; Chordata; Actinopteri; Syngnathiformes; Syngnathidae. The transcript has 2 exons.
UGUGUAUAUAUAUGUAUGUACUUUUGAGCACAAUUACAUUAAUUCAAUACCACAAUAAUGAUAAUUCAGCCAUAUAUUGGUGUCUACAAAACAGCACUGUACACAUUAGAGCAAGACGCAGGUCACACGUCAAUGUGGCCAAAGCAAACUCUUCUUCUUUCUUGGUCUGCCACAAACUAGCAGGCAGAUGCCACUACCCCUUAUAGCCCAACCUCUAAAUUACAGCGCAGAAUCAACACAGUAGCAGACCUGCCAACAUUGUAUAAACUAUGCAUACCACCUCUGAUAGCUUGCCACUCCAGCUACAUGCAGAUUUCCGUAGCUCAACGACUUAACUUAAAACCAAAAGUAUGGAAGUAUUUUUGUAGAAAAUUAUUUGCAAACAUGUAUCUCAAUCUGUGCGCGUGUAAUCCAAUUUGUGUGCAUGUACGACUUUCAGGACACUUCUGCCGUGUAAGAUGGUUUGUGCAUUUUUAUGUACAAUAUUGUAGCAUUGGAGUACUCAGCAGGCCUGCCAAUAUGUACUAAUUUUGUGUACUUUUUCCCCUAAAUACGUUCAUACACUGCUCUACAGCUACAUAUUAUGCUCCGUAUGGAAUUAUAAUUGACACAAAAUGAUUUGCAAAUGUGUAUCUCAAACUGCGCGUGUAAUCCAAUUUUCGUGCAUGUGUACUAAUUUGUGUCAGUAUAUGAUCCCGAGUGUGUGUAUUCAGAUCUGCGUACCUGUGUUAUAAGUUGUCUGUCUGUCCCUAAUCAGAAAGAACCCUCGAUGGGCUGUCUACUUACAAGUGACUUUUGUGACACUUCUGCCGUGUAAGAUUUGAGCGAGCGCGUCCAUAUUUGUGAGCGUGUAAUAUAACUUUUGCGCACAUUCAGAAGUGCAUGCAUCUUAAACAAUUUGCACAAAAUGCAGGAACCGUCUAUUGGCUGUCUUUUUUACAUGUGAUUUUGCGACACUUCUGCCGUGAACAAUUUUAGCAGCGCAUCCAGAUUCGUAGGCAUGUAAUACAACUUGUGCGCGGGCAUUCAGAAGUGAAUGGAUGUAAUACAAUCUGCGCGUGCGAGGUGUGCCUACAUUCAACCAACCAUGGAAGACACCACGCAAUUUAAAGUACCACUAGAGUGGAAAAACAAGUUGCCUCUAUAUUAAAGCUAUUAUCACAUAUCUGAUUUAUAACACUGAAAAACUUAAAAAGUUUGCAAGUAAAUACAUAUGAUCAAAAUACAAACCCCGUUUCCAUAUGAGUUGGGAAAUUGUGUUAGAUGUGAAUAUAAACGGAAUACAAUGAUUUUCAGAUCAUUUUCAACCCAUAUUCAAUUGAAUGCACUACAAAGACAAGAUAUUUGAUGUCCAAACUUAUAAGCUUUAUUAUUUUUUUGCAAAUAAUAAUUAACUUAGAAUUUCAUGGCUGCAACACGUGACAAAGUAGUUGGGAAAGGGCAUGUUCCCCACUGUGUUACAUCACCUUUUUUCUUAACAACACUCAAUAAACGUUUGGGAACUGAGGAAUCUAAUUGUUGAAGCUUUGAAAGUGGAAUUAUUUCCCAUUUUUGUUUUAUGUAGAGCUUCAGUCGUUAAACAGUCCGGGGUCUCCGCUGUCGUAUAUUGUGAAUUAAGUGAAUUAUAUUUAUAUAGCGCUUUUCUCAAGUGACUCAAAGCGCUUUACAUAGUGAAACCCAAUAUCUCAAUCAAUCAAUCAAUGUUUACUUAUAUAGCCCUAAAUCACUACUGUCUCAAAGGGCUGCACAAACCACAACACAAACCACUACGACAUCUUCGGUAGGCCCACGUAAGGGCAAGGAAAACUCACACCCAGUGGGACGUCGGUGACAAUGAUGACCCAGUGGGACGUCGGUGAUAAUGAUGACUAUAAGAACCUUGGAGAGGAGGAAAGCAAUGGAUGUCGAGCAGGUCUAACAUGAUACUGUGAAAGUUCAAUCCAUAAUGGAUCCACACAGUCGCGAGAGUCCAGUCCAAAGCGGAUCCGACACAGCAGCGAGAGUCCCGUUCACAGCGGAGCCAGCAGGAAAACAUCCCAAGCGGAGGCGGAUCAGCAGCGCAGAGAUGUCCCCAGCCGAUACACAGGCAAGCAGUACAUGGCCACCGGAUCGGACCGGACCCCCUCCACAAGGGAGAGUGGGACAUAGGAGAAAAAAGAAAAGAAACGGCAGAUGAACUGGUCUAAAAAGGGAGUCUAUUUAAAGGCCAGAGUAUACAAAUGAGUUUUAAGGUGAGACUUAAAUGCUUCUACUGAGGUGGCAUCUCGAACUGUUACCGGGAGGGCAUUCCAGAGUACCGGAGCCCGAAAUGAAAACGCUCUAUAGCCCGCAGACUUUUUUUGGGCUUUGGGAAUCACUAAUAAGCCGGAGUCCUUUGAACGCAGAUUUCUUGCCGGGACAUAUGGUACAAUACAAUCGGCAAGAUAGGAUGGAGCUACACCGUGUAGUAUUUUAUAUGUAAGUAGUAAAACCUUAAAGUCACAUCUUAAGUGCACAGGAAGCCAGUGCAGUUGAGCCAGUACAGGCGUAAUGUGAUCAAACUUUCUUGUUCUUGUCAAAAGUCUAGCAACCGCAUUUUGUACCAACUGUAAUCUUUUAAUGCUAGACAUGGGGAGACCCGAAAAUAAUACGUUACAGUAGUCGAGGCGAGACGUAACAAACGCAUGGAUAAUGAUCUCAGCGUCUUUAGUGGACAGAAUGGAGCGAAUUUUAGCGAUAUUACGGAGAUGAAAGAAGGCCGUUUUAGUAACGCUUGUAAUGUGUGACUCAAAGGAGAGAGUUGGGUAGAAGAUAAUACCCAGAUUCUUUACCGUGUCGCCUUGUUUAAUUGUUUGGUUGUCAAAUGUUAGAGUUGUAUUAUUAAAUAGAGGUCGGUGUCUAGCAGGACCGAUAAUCAGCAUUUCCGUUUUUUUGGCGUUGAGUUGCAAAAAGUUAGCGGACAUCCAUUGUUUAAUUUCAUUAAGACACGCCUCCAGCUGACUACAAUCCGGCGUGUUGGUCAGCUUUAGGGGCAUGUAGAGUUGGGUGUCAUCAGCAUAACAGUGAAAGCUAACACCGUAUUUGCGUAUGAUGUCACCUUGCGGCAGCAUGUAGAUGCUGAAGAGUGCAGGGCCAUGGACCGAACCCUGCGGAACUCCACAUGUUAGCGUAGUCCGAGGUCACAUUGUUAUGGGAGACGCACUGCAUCCUAUCAGUAAGAUAAGAGUUAAACCAAGACAGGGCUAAGUCUGACAUACCAAUUCGUGUUUUGAUACGUUCUAAUAAAAUAUUAUGAUCGACGGUAUCAAAAGCAGCGCUAAAAUCGAGGAGCAGCAACACAGAUGACGCAUCAGAAUCCAUCGUUAGCAAUAGAUCAUUGGUCAUUUUUGCGAGGGCUGUCUCCGUAGAGUGAUUUGCCCUGAAACCGGAUUGAAAGGUUUCACAUAGAUUGUUAGACGCUAAGUGUUCAUUUAACUGCUCCGCAACAAUUUUUUCGAGGAUUUUUGAAAUAAAUGGAAGGUGAGACACCGGUCGGUAGUUUACCACGAGGUCAGGAUCGAGGUUAGGUCUUUUAAGGAGAGGAUGAAUAACCGCUUUUUUGAAUGCUAGGGGAACAGUGCCCGAGGAAAGUGAUAAGUUUAUAAUAUUUAGCACUGAUGGACCUAAUAAUACAAAGAGCUCCUUGAUCAGUUUCCCAGGAAGAGGGUCAAGUAAACAUGUUGUUUGUUUUAUUCCAUUUACACUUUGUAACAAUUCCUCUAAUGUUAUUUCCUCAAAACGAGAGAAACCAUUUUGGAGGGCAAUAUCCGCCGUAUAUACAAUCGUAUCUGUGUUAAUAGAACCCAGUUGUGGCUGGGAUGCAUUGUCUUUAAUCUCCUUUCUAAUUACUUCAAUUCUCUUACUAAAGAAUUGCAUAAAGUCAUCAGCUGAGUGGGUGGAGCUACUGGACGGGGUCCCUUGUUGGGUUAGCGAUGCUACCGUACUAAACAAAAAUUUGGGAUCGUUUUUAUUACGGUGGAUGAGAUUUGAGUAAUAUUUAGCUUUAGCUAAGGUAAGCAUGCGUUUAUAAGUUAUUAAACCAUCACUCCAUGCUUGAUGGUGCACCUCAAGUUUAGUCGUGCGCCAUUUGCGUUCCAGCUUUCUACAUAAUAAUUUCUGAGCUCUAGUUUCUUCUGUAAACCACGGGGUACGCUUUUUUGGAACCUUUUUGAACUGUAGCGGUGCUAUGUUAUCAAUGGUUUCGCGCAGGGCGGCGUUAAAGUUCUUAGUGAGGUUAUCAAUAGAGCCCACAUAUUUUGGGAAUGGUGCCAUUACCGAGCGCAGUAGGCCAGCAAGAGUUGUCGUUGUGGCCGUACUAAUGUUGCGGCUGCUAUAGCAGUUAUUAUUACUAUUAGUUUGACGAACAUGCGUCUGAACCUCGAAUUUUAUAAGGUAAUGAUCGGACAAUACUUUAGUAUACGGGAGUAUCGUAAGUUUAGAAACGGUGAUACCCCUGACAAGCACUAGGUCUAUCGUAUUACCGUUGCGAUUCGUGGGUUAAUUUAUUAUUUGUGUAAGACCACAGCUAUCAAUUAUAGUCUGGAGCGCUACGCACGGUGGGUCCGAUGGGGUAUUCAUAUGGAUAUUAAAAUCCCCCAUUAUGAUUAUAUUAUCGGCGUGCGUCACUAGAUCAGCAACGAACUCUGAGAAUUCAUUGAUAAAGUCCGAAUAGGGCCCUGGGGGGCGGUAGAUAACAGCCAGAUGUAGAGGCAGCGAUGUGACAGACCUCAUAGUAAGCACCUCAAACGAUUUAUAUUUAUUAUUUAUGUUAGGACUAAGGUUAAAGUUUUCAUUGUAUAUUAGUGCGACCCCCCCACCCCUUUUAAACUAAGUUACAUUUAAACCAGUGUGUGUGGCACUGGGAGCAGGUGGGUAAAGUCUCUUCCCCAAGGACACAACAGCAGUGACUAGGAUGGCGGAAGCGGGAAUCGAACCUGCAACCCUCAAGUUGCUGGCACGGCCACUCUACCAACCGAAAUAUAUUACGCUUCAUAAUGCGCCACACAUUUUCGAUGGGAGACAGGUCUGGACUGCAGGCGGGCCAGGAAAGUACCCACACUCUUUUUUUUUUUUUUUUAGGAAGCCACGCUGUUGUAAUACGUGCUGAAUGUGGCUUGGCAUUGUCUUGCUGAAAUAGGCGGGGGCGUCCAUGAAAAAAACAGCGCUUAGAUGGCAGCAUAUGGUGUUCCAAAACCUAUGCCUUAGGGAAGAAGCUGUUACAGAACCUGGAGGUUCUGCUUCGGAGGCUGCGGAACCUCUUUCUAGAGUCCAGCAGUGAAAACAGUCCUUGGUGGGGGUGGGAGAAGUCUUUGCAGAUUUUCUCUCUCUAUAAUGCCUCUGUAGAAUGGGGGGAGGGAGCUGUGCUCUUUUCAUCCGACGCAAAAAGUGCAUGCGCUGCUGAGCUCUUUUUACUAGAGCUCCGGUGUGUAGGGACCAGGUUAUAUUGUUAGUUAUCUGCACCCCCAGGAACUUGGUGUUGCUUACCAUCUCCACCACUGUGCCAUUGAUGUAGAGUGGAGCGUGGCUGGGAUGGUGUUUCCUGAAGUUAACGAUGAUCUCCUUGGACUUGUUGACAUUCAGGACAAGGUUGUUGGUUGUGCACCAGUCAACCAGAUGUUUCACCACCUGUAGUCCAUGUCAUUAGUAGUGGACCUGGCGCAGCAGUCAUGAGUCAUCAACAUAAACAGCAGCGGACUCAGGACACAGCUUUCGUGAAACACCAAGUAUCAUGCAGUAGUAUUGCUAAGUGCUAAACAAGAGAUAAAAAGUACAAAUAUAAUACAACUAUUUCUUACUUUACGAUGUCUGCUGUCACUGCAAUGACGACUGACAGGAUGUUUAUAUCUUCCCGCAGAGAUGAAUAAUUAAUUGUAAUCCAAACAAAUGGUUAAAAAAGUUGCUGCUGACACUUUUUUUUAUAGUGUGUUUGUUUCCAUCUGCAGGUAUAAAUUGGAUGAGAGAACAACUUUUAAAUUCAUGGCUAAUACCUUUUAUUAUCCAGAUGAAAGGCAUAAUUUCUGAUUUAAGAUAACUUUAACGAGCCAAGAACAGCAGCAAACCAGACAACGCUUUUUUAAUGCUGCAUAAGCGGCUUUUUCUUCAGUUUUAUGGCAGUUAUCAUCCAUAUAUGUUGUAUUACUGCCAUCUUGAAUUUUAUUUUAUAAUUACAUUAAAGCCUCUCCCUUAGUCCAGUGCAGCAUAAACUAUAGUUAGCUCUCGGUUAUCAAUGCUAAAAAUAAUUUUUUGCGUUAGUGCUUAUAAUAACAACAUUACUAAAAUUUGUUUGAUAUUCAGGUCACAAGAUGUACAUAGAGUAUCGUUUGCAAGUUUUGGAUGGUUAUUUUGUGAGUUUUGUGGGCAAAUAGAGAGCCCCCAUUGACUCAAUGAUUGUUAGCAAAAAAUGUUUUAGUUAUUAAUUUACAACUUAGAAUGCAUAAAAAAGGAAAAACAUAUGUGCUCAUGUCUUUAUAAGGAUUGUGAAUGAUAUACAGCACAUCUUUUUAUACAUGUUUUUAUCAUUUUUGCGUAUUUCGACUGAUCUGAUAACAUGGUCAGAGUGCAGAAGCGUUCCUUCAGGGACAUCAAUCUCCAGAAGUAGCCAAAGGUAUUUGGAGUGGAAUAUUCAAAAUGGCAGACUGAGUUUGUGGCAUUUUGUGAACUUUACACGGUAUGUUUAUAUACUUUGUGGAUUGUAAAGAUUAGAUAUGGUUUAAUAGGCACAAUGAAACAAGCAUAUAACAUCAAUUAAUUUUUCCACUUUAGUGGUACUUUAAACCAGUCAGGAACAAUGUGUAGCUCAGGUGUGUGAAAGAGAGACUCAAAGACUCGCCUUAUGUUGUUUUUGAUUGGUCUAAAUUGCAUAAUGUCUUUCGUGGUUGUUUAUAACGCGCAUUACUGAUGAACGGGUCUGUUCAUGUCCAUUUUCAUACAGAGGGCACACUGGAUUAUAAGGCAUAUUAAAGGGGUCAAAAUAUGA